Molecule: ribosomal RNA, 492 nt
Filed under: uncultured bacterium
Lineage: Bacteria
Description: partial 16S ribosomal RNA
Rfam family: Bacterial small subunit ribosomal RNA
Source: RNAcentral
AGUGAACGCUGGCGGUAGGCCUAACACAUGCAAGUCGAACGGCAGCACAGUAAGAGCUUGCUCUUACGGGUUGCGAGUGGCGGACGUGUGAGGAAUACAUCGGAAUCUACUUUUUCGUGGGGGAUAACGUAGGUAAACUUACGCUAAUACCGCAUACGACCUACGGGUGAAAGCAGUGGAUCUUCUGAGCUUGCGCGAUUGAAUGAGCCGAUGUCGGAUUAGCUAGUUGGCGGGGUAAAGGCCCACCAAGGCGACGAUCCGUAGCUGGUCUGAGAGGAUGGUAAGCCACACUGGAACUGAGACACGGUCCAGACUACUACGGGAGGCAGCAGUGGGGAAUAGUGGACAAUGGGCGCAAGCCUGAUACAGCCAUACCGAGUGGGUGAAGAAGGCCUUCGGGUUGUAAAGACCUUUUGUUGGGAAAGAAAAGCAGCAGGUUAAUACCCAGCUGUUCUGACGGUAACCAAUGAAUAAGCACCGGCUAACUUCGUG